CUCAUUUAUGAGUCUUGCAGUUUUGGCGUUGGAGAAGAACUUUGCUAAAAAAGCCUUCUUGCAAUCAACCCAGGUGAUGAUUGAGUCAUGGGGCAUAUUCUUUUCCCAUAUGUGUGCUUUGUCGCCCAAGAAGAAUGGAAACAACCGGAGCUUGAAUCCGUCUUCACUGACACCAUUGACUUUUGUUAGGUUGCAGAGCCUAUCAAAUUCAUCCAAGUGGUCGAGUAGAUCCUCCAUUGGUAGACCAUGAAAUUUGUUCCCCUGAAUCAUCGAGAUGAGACCACUCUUAAUCUUGAAGUUGUUGUUCUGGAUAGUAGGAGGUGCAAUUCCUUUCCUCUGGCGGUGGUCCCGUGGUGCAUCUCCAGCACCAAUGUUUGG
Molecule: small RNA, 378 nt
Filed under: Arabidopsis thaliana (thale cress)
Lineage: Eukaryota; Viridiplantae; Streptophyta; Magnoliopsida; Brassicales; Brassicaceae
Description: ATSL157760
Source: RNAcentral